GCCUAACACAUGCAAGUCGAGCGGAUGAAGGGAGCUUGCUCCCUGAUUCAGCGGCGGACGGGUGAGUAAUGCCUAGGAAUCUGCCUGGUAGUGGGGGACAACGUCUCGAAAGGGACGCUAAUACCGCAUACGUCCUACGGGAGAAAGUGGGGGAUCUUCGGACCUCACGCUAUCAGAUGAGCCUAGGUCGGAUUAGCUAGUUGGUGAGGUAAUGGCUCACCAAGGCGACGAUCCGUAACUGGUCUGAGAGGAUGAUCAGUCACACUGGAACUGAGACACGGUCCAGACUCCUACGGGAGGCAGCAGUGGGGAAUAUUGGACAAUGGGCGAAAGCCUGAUCCAGCCAUGCCGCGUGUGUGAAGAAGGUCUUCGGAUUGUAAAGCACUUUAAGUUGGGAGGAAGGGCAUUAACCUAAUACGUUAGUGUUUUGACGUUACCGACAGAAUAAGCACCGGCUAACUCUGUGCCAGCAGCCGCGGUAAUACAGAGGGUGCAAGCGUUAAUCGGAAUUACUGGGCGUAAAGCGCGCGUAGGUGGUUUGUUAAGUUGAAUGUGAAAUCCCCGGGCUCAACCUGGGAACUGCAUCCAAAACUGGCAAGCUAGAGUAGGGCAGAGGGUGGUGGAAUUUCCUGUGUAGCGGUGAAAUGCGUAGAUAUAGGAAGGAACACCAGUGGCGAAGGCGACCACCUGGGCUCAUACUGACACUGAGGUGCGAAAGCGUG
RNAcentral lists this ribosomal RNA (722 nucleotides) under Pseudomonas sp. W228. RNAcentral describes it as "bacterial SSU rRNA". It matches the Rfam family "Bacterial small subunit ribosomal RNA", at positions 46 to 763 of the family's 1533-position model. The record is from RNAcentral. Lineage: Bacteria; Pseudomonadati; Pseudomonadota; Gammaproteobacteria; Pseudomonadales; Pseudomonadaceae.